UAAAACUUACAGAGACAUGGUUUUAAACAAAAAGAUUGUGGCUAGAAAAGUACGGAUCUGCUGGGUUACCUGGGUAUGUAUACGUAGGUGCAGAUUGUCCAUGUCUCUUCCCAUGAGACUAACCUGCACAGCAUAAACCCAGAGCGAAUUUGCGCAAACGGUCAUGGAAGUACUCGAAGACCCAACGGUUGAUGGAACCCAUCUGGGUGGAACCGUAAGAUGUAAGGUGAUGCGAAGAAGUCAUACGAGUACCGCAGAUUCGGCUGAUGGAUUUCAGUUUUUUGCGUACCGCGGCAGGAGCGCUGGGACAGCAAAAUCGACAACGGAUUCCCAGCAGACGUCAAAGCGAUCGAUGAAGCGCGAGAUCUUCUGCUUUCCCGGUUGGAUCUCCAUGGUCCAUAUCUCCGUGUUGAUUGUGCGCAGCAGAUGAUCCUUAAUAACCAUUAAGUCUGUCGAAGCUUGCUUACUUUAAUCUGUAUUUGAACACAAAG
This is a long non-coding RNA of Paramacrobiotus metropolitanus, 491 nucleotides long. RefSeq lists it as uncharacterized. NCBI's taxonomy places the organism in Eukaryota, Metazoa, Tardigrada, Eutardigrada, Parachela, Macrobiotidae. The record is from RefSeq and is a predicted model, not a curated record. The transcript has 3 exons.